GAGAAAUCUCUUCUUUGAACAGAAAAUUACUGUAUGUGAUGUUCCAAAAAAACUAAUUCUAGUUGUUUGAUAGUCAUUCAGAUUUUCUAUAUCCUUAAUGAUUUUUGGUAUACUUCUAUUGAUUGCUGAGAAAUAAAUGUAGAAAUCCUCACAUAUAAGUAUAGAUUUACUUAUUUAUCCUUUUAAAACCCAAUUUUGAUCUAUCUGAAACACUAUAAUUAGGAUAAAUAUUUUGUUUUAAUAGGUGUUCCUGAUAAAUGGAUCUUUUUAUCUUUUUAUCAAAUUUUCUUUGGUAUUUUGGUCUGGUCCACAGUCCUCCACUCUACCAGAAGUGAACACAUUGGAUGUUGCUGAACUGAAAUAUGUUAAGGAAAGAGAGGUAAAGAGAGAAAGGACUUCAUGGAAACUGACAAUGAUGCCUUUUAAAGAAGAAAAAAAUUUCUUAUGAAUAAGAAGAACCCCCUGUAUGAUUAGAAACAAUUUCUGUGAACUAAUCCUUUCUCUCUUGCUUUGACAACUCUAUAAUUGUCAAAUGUGUAAUUCUGUACAAAUCAUGCACCCAGUCUACUUUUCUGCCCCUUACCUAAGUGGGACACAAUACCAACAUUCUCAGUUAGUAUCAACAAACUUCAAGUCCAGUCCUUCUGAG
This 649-nucleotide long non-coding RNA is filed under the name Heterocephalus glaber (naked mole-rat). RNAcentral's name for it is "lncRNA (ENSHGLG00000036852.1)". Lineage: Eukaryota; Metazoa; Chordata; Mammalia; Rodentia; Bathyergidae. The record is from RNAcentral.